UAGGGAAUCUUCCGCAAUGGACGCAAGUCUGACGGAGCAACGCCGCGUGAGUGAAGAAGGAUUUCGGUUCGUAAAACUCUGUUGUUAGAGAAGAACAGCGCAUAGAGUAACUGUUAUGCGUGUGACGGUAUCUAACCAGAAAGCCACGGCUAACUACGUGCCAGCAGCCGCGGUAAUACGUAGGUGGCAAGCGUUGUCCGGAUUUAUUGGGCGUAAAGCGAGCGCAGGCGGUCAAUUAAGUCUGAUGUGAAAGCCCCCGGCUCAACCGGGGAGGGUCAUUGGGAACUGUUUAACUUGAGUGCAGAAGGGGAGAGUGGAAUUCCAUGUGUAGCGGUGAAAUGCGUAGAUAUAUGGAGGAACACCGGUGGCGAAAGCGGCUCUCUGGUCUGUAACUGACGCUGAGGCUCGAAAGCGUGGGUAGCAAACAGG
Molecule: ribosomal RNA, 429 nt
Filed under: Bacteroidota bacterium
Lineage: Bacteria; Pseudomonadati; Bacteroidota
Description: Bacteroidetes bacterium partial 16S ribosomal RNA
Rfam family: Bacterial small subunit ribosomal RNA
Source: RNAcentral